Alosa sapidissima (American shad) is the source of this 433-nucleotide long non-coding RNA. RefSeq lists it as uncharacterized. NCBI's taxonomy places the organism in Eukaryota, Metazoa, Chordata, Actinopteri, Clupeiformes, Clupeidae. The transcript has 3 exons. The record is from RefSeq and is a predicted model, not a curated record.
UUGAUGACUGGAUCAGGAAAUGCCUGUGAUGCUUGGGUAUUCAGGCAAGCUACAGGUCAAAGAUGCGUAACCUUGGAUGUCCAGUGACCGCCGUUUUCCAGAAGAAGAAGGUCAUAAGUUCCAGAAGAAGGUUUAAAGGACAUAAAAUGACCAAACAUUUGAGGAUUUUGCAAGGUACAGAGACUGUACAUCUGAGGAGGGAGGCAGCCAUCAAGACACUGUGCCUUUAUUUUGGUGAAGAUGAUGAUUCUCUCAUACAUGUACAUGGAUAUCCAUGGCAAGGAGGUGUCAAGAGAAAACCACCCCUUGGAACAUGAGGACAUCGGCAUCGUUGUGGAUGGAGGCAUCAUUUUGGAGGAACCUUGGUCUGUUGCACAAGGCUGUGCAGUGAAGCCAGAGACUUUCUAAUGAGGAGACACAGCACUCAAAAAAU